Molecule: small nuclear RNA, 108 nt
Organism: Trichechus manatus latirostris (Florida manatee)
Lineage: Eukaryota; Metazoa; Chordata; Mammalia; Sirenia; Trichechidae
Source: RefSeq, a predicted model, not a curated record
GUGCUCACUUUAGCAGCACAUGUACUAAAAAUUAGAAAGACACAGAGAAGAUUAACAUGGCCCCUGAGCAAGGAUGAUACACCAAUUCAUAAAGCAUGCCACAUUUUU